AUGUCUGCUAUGGUUUCUGUCCUUUCUCAAGUUAUUGGAAACAGUACCACCCAUUCUUCUUCUGCUAAUGCUACUCCAUUAACCCUACCUCAAUCUGCUGUAGCUCUCCAAAACCAAUCUCAAUCUAUUGAGGAUCAAGGUACACACUACUCUCCCCACACCCCGGACCUAUUUAUGGGAUUACACUGUGUUGUUAAGUGUCUCACGUUAGGGAGUGAGUUGUCGUCGUCUCCUUAUAUAAUCUUGAACAAUGCUAACCUAUUAAAUUAGUUCCAGAAUUGAGUUAGAUCCAAGAUCCAUGUUCUUAAUUAACAUAGAUGCAAAAAAAAAAAAUAUAUAUAUAUAUAUUUUUACAAGUUGCUAAGCAUAUUCGUUGGCAGAAUUUCUGUACGUAGCUUGAAGAAUGACAAUCGUUUUCUUAAAAGAUUACUAUAUUUAAUUAUAUGUAUUAUCUGACUCAUUUCUUUUUUCCCAAGCCGAUACAUAUUUUUAUAACUCUAUAUAAUCUAAUUAUGCACCUCAUUAAUAUCUUGUUCAUGACCACUACUAUGGGUGGCGUCCUUAAUUAAUUGACAUUCUAGUUUCUAAUUCCCUAAAUGGAAAUAAACUGAUUGUUUCCUCCUUCAUUCUUCCCACUAAAUUUCUUCGAAGCAAAACAAAAGAGAAAGGAAAACAAAGACUUCCGGGGAAAAAGAAAAAGAAAAAGAAAAGCAAGGAACAUUAGGUAGCAGUUAACUUCAACUAGUUCAAUUUCUUCCUAGAGUUACACCGACCUCGGUUGUCAAGAUCACAACAAAUCUAAUCAAGUUUUCUUAAUAGGAGUAGAAUUUAUCUUAUAUACAUUGAAAUUCAAAAAAAAAAAAACUAACACUAUCAAUGUAACGUAACCUCCCUAUUGCAGAUAAUCUAUAGAAAUAAUAUUAUUUUUCAAGUUAUUACGUAUACGUAUAUAGUCCGACCUCUCUAUAACAAUCGUGCUUUAUAAUAACACUUCCCUAUAACGGUCAAGUUUUCUUUGGAACUAAUUUUUCAUGUUAUGUUAUAAUAUAUAUUUUCUAUGACAGCACUUCAUAAUAGUAGUCAAAAAGUUUCGAAACAAAGGAUGUUGUUAUGGAGAGAUUUUAGGUGAUCAAUCUAAUAACAGUGUGUGUAUAAUAUGUGAAGGGAAUUCGAGAAGAAAAAGGUAUAGAGGAGUGAGGCAAAGACCAUGGGGAAAGUGGGCAGCCGAAAUCCGAGACCCAAAGAAAGCAGCUAGAGUAUGGCUUGGCACUUUUGAAACUGCUGAGGCUGCAGCAAUUGCCUACGAUGAAGCAGCUCUCAGAUUCAAAGGCAACAAAGCCAAACUCAACUUCCCUGAAAGAGUUCAAGGCAAAUUCCAAUACCUUACUACUACUACUAGUCAAAAUCAUCACUUGCCUGAUAAUAUUGUUCAACAACAAUAUAUUCCAACUAGCUCCAAUAAUAAUCAUCCUCUCCCUUGUCAAGAACAUUAUCCUAGUUUACAUCACUAUGCUCAGCUACUUCAGAGUGACAGCAAUAUUACUGAUUUAAACUUCGGUAUCUCGCCAAGUUAUAAUCAGCAGUUAUCUGCUUCUUUUGAUUUUGCGCAAUCAUCAUCUAACAGUACAUUAUCGGAAUUGCCAGCUUCUUAUGAGCAGAGGCAAUUACAAUCAAGUUACAAGCAAGAAGAAGAAGUUUUAAUGAGAUUUUCAUCGCAUUUUGGUACUACUUCAAGCUCAUCUGGACCUCAUGAAAGUAACUGGGAAGAGUUUGAAGAUAGAAAGUCAUAAGUUCAUUCCCUAGUAUUAAGAGAUACGAAGACUGAAAGAAGUUUUAUGAGAUUUCCGUCGCAUUUUAUUUCGUAGUUUAUGGUUUUACUGGGGUUUUCUGUCCUCUGAUCUUGUAUUUCAGUUAAGUGUAAUAGUAGAACUAUAUAUAUUCAUGAAUUAAUGGAAAAAUAUUGGUGUGGUUUUAUGUGUUUAAAGGUUAAGUGUCAAGCUAACACUCCUGACGACAACAACAACCUACCCAGUGUGAUCUCACAAGUGAAAUCUGAAUAGGGUAGUCAGGGGCGGCUCAACGAAUUUUGUGGCGUAAAGCCAAAAUAUAUUAAAAGGCCCUUAAAUUUAUUUCUUUUAUAAAAUCCAUAGAAUAAUAAGAUACAAAGCAAACUCUAGGACUUUGGCUUAGUGGUAUCGUAAAUAAAAAUAUGACAUUAAUUAAGUGGAAGAAGAUAGAGGGAGCACGACGAUUAUCUGUUUCGAAUCUUGUGCGCCAUUGCAUUUGGGGGGUUUUCUCUUAAAAAGAUGAACCAAAAAAGAGUUGCUUGAUGGAUCAAUAAAAUAAGGUGAAAAGAAAUAACCAACUUAGAGAAACUGAAAAUUAGUAAGUAAAAUCAUUAGAAACAUUAGAAAAAAACAUGAGUGUACAUACAGGAGAAAAAAAUUAAAUUUGAUAAUAAAGGUAAAUACAUCAUUCAAUUAAACGAGAAAGAAAUUUAUCGUUAUUUACCACCCAGCUCUAUAUCUUUAAUUAAAACUUUUAAAAUAUUUUAUUAAUAAUAUUUACAUAAAAUAUAUGUGACACAUAGUACUUAAAAUUGGGCCUUAAUAUUUUGGGGGCCUAAGGCAAUGACUUCAUUUGCCUUGCCCUUAGGCCGCCUCUAAGGGUAGUGUGUGUACGCAGACUUACCCCUACCUUGUGCAGGUAGUGAAGUUGUUUCUAAUAGAUUCUCGGCUGAAAGCAAGCAUGCAAAAAUGAACUCAAUUCUUAAGGGACUUCCGAAUAAUUUUCAAUCGUCUAAAAAAAUUAACAAAUUUAUGAAAUGUGUUUAUUUGAUGCAUCAACAUUGAUUCAUUUAGUGACUGCUAUUGUGCCUUACAAACGGCUAAAUAGAGCACUAUUCACUGUAUUGGAUUAAAGAAAAUGAACCCCUUUCUCAUUUUGGACAAGACAGUCAUUUGCAAAGAUAAACUCAAUUCAUAUGGGACUUCUCUAAAUAAUUUUAAAUCGUCUCAAAAAAAUAUUACAAAUUUGUCAAGUGUUACACCUAGUCCAUGUUUCUCAAUGUGAGUAUUUGUAAAGCAUAUGGCAUUCAAUGAAAAUGGUACAUGCAUAAUGAUGUCAAGUUAAAUAAGUGGAAGCUAAUAGCUAUAUAUAGCUAAUAGAAGAAUAGAAUUUUGAUUAUGUUACGUUGUAGCUGAAGUUGGCUAGUAAUUGAAUUGCCUCUUUUGCAUGGCAAGGAAAUUAAUUAAAGUAAGAACGAGGGGGAACGCAAUUAUUGGGCAACUAAGUUUUGCUUCCGUUCAGUUGCAUUAUAGGCAAUUAGAUUUGUGGAACGCCGUCCUUUCCUUUAAUUGUUACGUAUAAAUUAGAGGCGAAGCUAGAAUUUAAAGUUUGUGGGUUCGAGAUUCUAAUUCAUUUAUGUUACUGGGUUCUAAAUUAACAAUUUAUACAUAUUCAAUGAAGUUUUAAGACAAAUACAUGAUUUGGAUCAAAGUUACUGAGUUCCGCCGAACCCGCAAGCUCUAUGCUAGCUCCGCCCCUGGUAUAAAGUAGUAGAUGAUACUGCUAAGUAAGUAAGGAUAUCCAGUUUUCGAUCAGCUUCCUACCGUUAAUAGAUCAUAGUGAACAUACGAAAUAUUUCGCGAUUUCCCUACAUCUUAACCAUUUGAUUUUAUUUAUCAUAUACAAUAAUACCAAUAUUAGAAGAUUUACAUUAUUAUAUUUCUUCUUAAGAUUGUUGUGAUUUUGCAUGCUUGCUUUGAGCCGAUAUUCUAUCGAAAACAGUCUCAGUCUGCACAAGAUAGGAGUAAGGUUGCGUACUCACUACUUUUUUCAGACCCACAUAUUAGAUUAUGUAUAUAUAGGAGCUUAAGUUCUAUACAAAGACAAUUUUAAUUUUUUAAACGCCCUAAAAUAUAAUAACAUAUAGCUGUCCGAUGAAGUAGAUUAAUUAUAUGAAAAAUAAAAAGACAAUCUACUACUACCUCCGUUCCAGUUUACGUGAACCUAUUUCCUUUUUGGUCUGUUCUAAAAAGAAUGACUCCUUUCUAAAUUUGAAAAUAAUUUUACUUAAACUUACAAUUUUACCCUUAAUGAGAAGCUUUUAUAACCAUACAAAUAUUGUGGAUCCCUUUUUAAAUUGUUUAAGACCACAAGUUCUAAAAAUAUUUUUUUUUUUAAAUUCCGUGUCCAGUCAAAUAGAUUUACAAUUAUAAGAGAGUAAUAAAAAAUUAAAUAAUACUGUGCAAUAUUUUCUUGAACAUCGCUGCGUAUAAGUCAAAUCCUACGUAUAGGUAGUAAAGACGUCCUGCUCACCAAUUAAUGAUUGCGGCGCUUAAGCCAUAGAGUGAUCAGGGCACAAUGGACCAAUAUUAACUAUUCGUAUACGUCUUUUUUCGGACUCUGUAUAUACUUCGAGAUACUUUGGGCAUAUAUCGGGCUGACUUUUUGUAUAAUAUAAAAUAAUUUUUUAUUUAAUUGAUAAUUCCGACGAUAUUUUAGCCGAUUGUUAAAGAACAUCAAACAUUCCAAACAUAAACCGGCGAACUUAAAAAAGGAGGGAGAAAAAGUAGAAAAAAUAGAUAUAUAUAUAUAAGAAAGAAAAGGCAUAUAUACUUCCCUUUCCUUUGUUAUGAAGCUAGUUUGAAAACUGACCUUUUGGCAUUAAUUCCAAAGCUUGAAAAAAUGAUCAUCUGAGCUUCCUCUUUUAGCAUAUAAACGUGCAUGUCUGAUCAUUCUCAGAAGCUUUAUUGAAAAACAAGUUGAAGAUGACUAUAUUUUAGUCUUAAAAAGGGUAGCUUGAGAAUAGAGUGAAAGUAAAGUGAACUUACAGCAUGCAUUUUUCAACUUCUAGGUCUGCAUUCUCUGUAUCUUAUAUUACCUUUAUAAAGAGAUAGAGAGAGAACAAAUGUGAAAGGUUGAACAAAUGUUUAACAAAG
Molecule: long non-coding RNA, 4943 nt
Filed under: Nicotiana tabacum (common tobacco)
Lineage: Eukaryota; Viridiplantae; Streptophyta; Magnoliopsida; Solanales; Solanaceae
Description: long non-coding RNA (NTAB_LNC003500)
Source: RNAcentral